Small nuclear RNA from Sorex fumeus (smoky shrew), 163 nucleotides. RefSeq annotates it as U1 spliceosomal RNA. NCBI's taxonomy places the organism in Eukaryota, Metazoa, Chordata, Mammalia, Eulipotyphla, Soricidae. The transcript has a single exon. The record is from RefSeq and is a predicted model, not a curated record.
AUGCUUACUAGGUUAGGAAGAUAGCAUGAUUAUGAUGGUGGUUUUCCCAGGGUGAGGCUUAUCCAUUGCAUUCCAGGUGUGCUGCCCGCUGUGAUUUCCCCGAUUACAGGAAACUCAUCUGCAAAAUUUAUAGUUGUGGCGAACUGCGUUUGUGCUCUCCUGU